RNAcentral lists this ribosomal RNA (200 nucleotides) under uncultured organism. Its description in RNAcentral is "partial small subunit ribosomal RNA". It matches the Rfam family "Bacterial small subunit ribosomal RNA", at positions 1183 to 1382 of the family's 1533-position model. The record is from RNAcentral.
CGUCAAGUCAUCAUGGCCCUUACGACCUGGGCUACACACGUGCUACAAUGGCACGCACAGAGGGCCGCGACCCCGCGAGGGUGAGCAAAUCCCACAAAACGUGUCGUAGUCCGGAUUGGAGUCUGCAACUCGACUCCAUGAAGUCGGAAUCGCUAGUAAUCGCGAAUCAGAAUGUCGCGGUGAAUACGUUCCCGGGCCUU